CAGCCGCCACGGGAAUACGAAGGGUGCAAGCGUUACUCGGAAUUACUGGGCGUAAAGCGUGCGUAGGUGGUGGUUUAAGUCCGUUGUGAAAGCCCUGGGCUCAACCUGGGAACUGCAUUUGUGACUGGCAGGCUAGAGUAUGGCAGAGGGGGGUGGAAUUCCGCGUGUAGCAGUGAAAUGCGUAGAUAUGCGGAGGAACACCGAUGGCGAAGGCAAUCCCCUGGGCCUGUACUGACGCUCAUGCACGAAAGCGUGGGGAGCAAACAGGAUUAGAUACCCCCGUAGUCCCUGUCUCUUAUAC
RNAcentral lists this ribosomal RNA (301 nucleotides) under uncultured bacterium. RNAcentral describes it as "partial 16S ribosomal RNA". It matches the Rfam family "Bacterial small subunit ribosomal RNA", at positions 509 to 807 of the family's 1533-position model. The record is from RNAcentral.